GGGCAUGGGGUCGACUAGCCAUGCGAGUCAAUGUUCUUCGUGAACAUGGCGUACUGCUCAGUAACACGUGGAUAACCUGCCCUUAGGACUGGCAUAACCCCGGGAAACUGGGGAUAAUUCCGGAUAGUUCAUGGUAGCUGGAAUGCUCCAUGAUCGAAAGCUAUUGCGCCUAAGGAUGGGUCUGCGGUCUAUCAGGUAGUAGUGGGUGUAAUGUACCUACUAGCCGACGACGGAUACGGGUUGUGGGAGCAAGAGCCCGGAGAUGGAUUCUGAGACAUGAAUCCAGGCCCUACGGGGCGCAGCAGGCGCGAAAACUUUACAAUGCGGGAAACCGCGAUAAGGGGACACCGAGUGCCAGCAUCUUAUGUUGGCUGUCCGCAUGUAUAAAUCACAUGUGUUAGCAAGGGCCGGGCAAGACCGGUGCCAGCCGCCGCGGUAACACCGGCGGCCCGAGUGGUGGCCACUAUUAUUGGGUCUAAAGGGUCCGUAGCCGGUUUGGUCAGUCUUCCGGGAAAUCUGACGGCUUAACCGUUAGGCUUUCGGGGGAUACUACCAGGCUUGGGACCGGGAGAGGUAAGAGGUACUACGGGGGUAGGAGUGAAAUCUUGUAAUCCUCGUGGGACCACCAGUGGCGAAGGCGUCUUACCAGAACGGGUCCGACGGUGAGGGACGAAAGCUGGGGGCACGAACCGGAUUAGAUACCCGGGUAGUCCCAGCCGUAAACUAUGCUCGCUAGGUGUCAGGGACGGUGCGACCGUUUCUGGUGCCGCAGGGAAGCCGUGAAGCGAGCCACCUGGGAA
Molecule: ribosomal RNA, 800 nt
Filed under: uncultured archaeon
Lineage: Archaea
Description: bacterial SSU rRNA
Rfam family: Archaeal small subunit ribosomal RNA
Source: RNAcentral